This 22-nucleotide small nuclear RNA is filed under the name Arabidopsis thaliana (thale cress). RNAcentral describes it as "snRNA_10888". The record is from RNAcentral. Lineage: Eukaryota; Viridiplantae; Streptophyta; Magnoliopsida; Brassicales; Brassicaceae.
GAGAAAACUCCAGACCAAAAGA